This 472-nucleotide ribosomal RNA is filed under the name uncultured bacterium. Its description in RNAcentral is "bacterial SSU rRNA". It matches the Rfam family "Bacterial small subunit ribosomal RNA", at positions 328 to 793 of the family's 1533-position model. The record is from RNAcentral.
UUCCCAGACUCCUACGGGAGGCAGCAGUGGGGAAUAUUGCGCAAUGGGCGAAAGCCUGACGCAGCGACGCCGCGUGAGGGAUGAAUGUCUUCGGAUCGUAAACCUCUGUCAGCAGGGAAGAACGGUCACUGUGCUAAUCAGCAGUGAAUUGACGGUACCUGCAAAGGAAGCUCCGGCUAACUACGUGCCAGCAGCCGCGGUAAUACGUAGGGAGCGAGCGUUGUCCGGAAUUACUGGGUGUAAAGGGAGCGUAGGCGGGGAUGCAAGUUGGGUGUCAAAACUACCGGCUCAACUGGUAGUCGCACUCAAAACUGCAGCUCUUGAGUGAAGUAGAGGCAGGCGGAAUUCCUAGUGUAGCGGUGAAAUGCGUAGAUAUUAGGAGGAACACCAGUGGCGAAGGCGGCCUGCUGGGCUUUUACUGACGCUGAGGCUCGAAAGUGUGGGGAGCAAACAGGAUGAGAUACCCCGGUAC